Molecule: ribosomal RNA, 1678 nt
Filed under: Staphylococcus aureus
Lineage: Bacteria; Bacillati; Bacillota; Bacilli; Caryophanales; Staphylococcaceae
Description: partial 23S ribosomal RNA
Rfam family: Bacterial large subunit ribosomal RNA
Source: RNAcentral
CCCCGGAAGGGGAGUGAAAUAGAACCUGAAACCGUGUGCUUACAAGUAGUCAGAGCCCGUUAAUGGGUGAUGGCGUGCCUUUUGUAGAAUGAACCGGCGAGUUACGAUUUGAUGCAAGGUUAAGCAGUAAAUGUGGAGCCGUAGCGAAAGCGAGUCUGAAUAGGGCGUUUAGUAUUUGGUCGUAGACCCGAAACCAGGUGAUCUACCCUUGGUCAGGUUGAAGUUCAGGUAACACUGAAUGGAGGACCGAACCGACUUACGUUGAAAAGUGAGCGGAUGAACUGAGGGUAGCGGAGAAAUUCCAAUCGAACCUGGAGAUAGCUGGUUCUCUCCGAAAUAGCUUUAGGGCUAGCCUCAAGUGAUGAUUAUUGGAGGUAGAGCACUGUUUGGACGAGGGGCCCCUCUCGGGUUACCGAAUUCAGACAAACUCCGAAUGCCAAUUAAUUUAACUUGGGAGUCAGAACAUGGGUGAUAAGGUCCGUGUUCGAAAGGGAAACAGCCCAGACCACCAGCUAAGGUCCCAAAAUAUAUGUUAAGUGGAAAAGGAUGUGGCGUUGCCCAGACAACUAGGAUGUUGGCUUAGAAGCAGCCAUCAUUUAAAGAGUGCGUAAUAGCUCACUAGUCGAGUGACACUGCGCCGAAAAUGUACCGGGGCUAAACAUAUUACCGAAGCUGUGGAUUGUCCUUUGGACAAUGGUAGGAGAGCGUUCUAAGGGCGUUGAAGCAUGAUCGUAAGGACAUGUGGAGCGCUUAGAAGUGAGAAUGCCGGUGUGAGUAGCGAAAGACGGGUGAGAAUCCCGUCCACCGAUUGACUAAGGUUUCCAGAGGAAGGCUCGUCCGCUCUGGGUUAGUCGGGUCCUAAGCUGAGGCCGACAGGCGUAGGCGAUGGAUAACAGGUUGAUAUUCCUGUACCACCUAUAAUCGUUUUAAUCGAUGGGGGGACGCAGUAGGAUAGGCGAAGCGUGCGAUUGGAUUGCACGUCUAAGCAGUAAGGCUGAGUAUUAGGCAAAUCCGGUACUCAUUAAGGCUGAGCUGUGAUGGGGAGAAGACAUUGUGUCUUCGAGUCGUUGAUUUCACACUGCCGAGAAAAGCCUCUAGAUAGAAAAUAGGUGCCCGUACCGCAAACCGACACAGGUAGUCAAGAUGAGAAUUCUAAGGUGAGCGAGCGAACUCUCGUUAAGGAACUCGGCAAAAUGACCCCGUAACUUCGGGAGAAGGGGUGCUCUUUAGGGUUAACGCCCAGAAGAGCCGCAGUGAAUAGGCCCAAGCGACUGUUUAUCAAAAACACAGGUCUCUGCUAAACCGUAAGGUGAUGUAUAGGGGCUGACGCCUGCCCGGUGCUGGAAGGUUAAGAGGAGUGGUUAGCUUCUGCGAAGCUACGAAUCGAAGCCCCAGUAAACGGCGGCCGUAACUAUAACGGUCCUAAGGUAGCGAAAUUCCUUGUCGGGUAAGUUCCGACCCGCACGAAAGGCGUAACGAUUUGGGCACUGUCUCAACGAGAGACUCGGUGAAAUCAUAGUACCUGUGAAGAUGCAGGUUACCCGCGACAGGACGGAAAGACCCCGUGGAGCUUUACUGUAGCCUGAUAUUGAAAUUCGGCACAGCUUGUACAGGAUAGGUAGGAGCCUUUGAAACGUGAGCGCUAGCUUACGUGGAGGCGCUGGUGGGAUACUACCCU